GUGGUUUCUUCCGGCGGCAAGGCGCCAUGUUUAUUUUUCGCUCGAAAGAACUUUCUUUCUCAAUUUGCGAGUUAAAUAAAUUAACAAGUUAAACAGAAGUUAAAUUAAGUAAUAUGAUAAGUAGUAAUAGUAACAACUCCUUGAAGAUUUUACCCUGUGUAGUCGUACUUGAGCUGCUGCGGAUGUUAGUUUGUUCUCGGUAUGAUUCCUCACAAGAAGAACGGUUCUCUGGGUUCUCUGCCAGCAAAACAGAAAGCGUCACCGUUGCCGGUAGUGCAUUCAUUGGCAUUGGUGUUUAUUCCGCAUAUUCAUAUAUUUCGGUUCAGCCAGGAUUGACUCACGACAACUUUGAAACGACCAUCGGACUUGCCGUCGGAACAUCGGAUAAGGCAACCUGAACAUACAGCAAGGACUCGCUCCACAACAAUAAUUAACCGGGAUCGUAGUACAGAUCAGUUCAGCAGGAAUCACUCCUAAUAAAAAUUGCAUUGACUUCGUCUCCUUGAUGGAAAGGAUUCCGGAAAACUGUCAACGGAAAUAUUUAGUCUGCGCAACUAGCUUUGCUUGUGAAAUAACCGGUUUUGAAGCGCCUACGGAUGCAGAAGCCUUCCAUGCUAUAUUGCUCAAUAUCACUCCGGCGAAGGUAAUCCAGUGUAUGGGCUACCAUUGGUCUGCAGAUCGAUACUGGAACCACCUGGAACCUAGAUUCCGAAUAAUUCAUGAAAUGCAGUCUGUGAAUAAACAACCUGUUUCCGGCGUGGCAUGCAACCUAUACGGACGGCAACGGGAUUAAUGGCAAAUCCUCUUUGCAGAUCUGCGUCAAGAUAUGUACCGAUGUA
Molecule: long non-coding RNA, 839 nt
Organism: Armigeres subalbatus
Lineage: Eukaryota; Metazoa; Arthropoda; Insecta; Diptera; Culicidae
Exons: 3
Source: RefSeq, a predicted model, not a curated record